GCCCAUGUAUCGGGCCGGGUCUUCUACCCCGUGCACCCGUAACUGGAUCAUGCAGGUUCGACCCCUGUCAUGGGCUCCA
Molecule: transfer RNA, 79 nt
Filed under: Rhizobium leguminosarum bv. viciae
Lineage: Bacteria; Pseudomonadati; Pseudomonadota; Alphaproteobacteria; Hyphomicrobiales; Rhizobiaceae
Description: tRNA-OTHER
Source: RNAcentral